RNAcentral lists this long non-coding RNA (1462 nucleotides) under Cyanistes caeruleus (blue tit). RNAcentral describes it as "lncRNA (ENSCCEG00000010653.1)". Lineage: Eukaryota; Metazoa; Chordata; Aves; Passeriformes; Paridae. The record is from RNAcentral.
CUUUAAUUUCCCAUUUACAAACAUGUGACAUGCUUUUUAGUUGCAAAAGACAUUUUUUAAAGGGAGCUUACAAGAGGUAGCAUAUCAGAAGAUCUGAACAGAGUGGAUUUGUUGUGCUUCUUUCAGGUUAACUGUUUACAGCUUUUACCACGGAUGUUUCAAAAGUGCAAGAAAAUAAAUCUAAAUGCCUAUUUAGCUUUAAAAGCAUUUGGAAGACUAAUGGCAUGAUGGUUUUCUUCCCAUCAUUUUGGUGAUUUUUCUUCUUUCCAUUUCUAUCUUAAUCUUGUGCUUUUAUCCUUUUUAGUUUGUUGUAUUUUUUUUUUUUUUUUACCUUGUGUUUGAUUUCUUCCCAGGCACCUCCAGAAAGAGGGCAGAAGGUGGGAUCCAGAAAAUCUGCUGGCACCAACUGCAACUCCUGCCACGUGGAAAUGCUCCCAGGGAACAUCUGCUCUUCCUCAUGGAUUUGCAGAGGAAGAGAACAGGAACCAUUUGGUGUGUCUGUGCUGGUAAUGAAGACAUACACAUGCACUACUACCAGCUCUGCUUCAUGGAGCCAUUCCAUGCUCUUCAGGACUGGUUCAAAUGAAAUCAGGUCUUGGACACAUUGAGCUCUGGCAGUUUUUUGGGCAAUGCCUCCUUCCAUGCUCAAAGAACUGUUCAUAUGGGUCAGUCCUGCUCUGAGUGAAGUCUCAGGGAUCAUCAGUUACCAGCAAUAUUCUCUAAUUCUGAGUACAAAGUUAAAGGAUAUGGAAUUUACAUAAAGAAAUGUAAUAUUGGUUAGCAAAGAAUUUUACUGGAAGCAAUAAUCCACAAUUAACAAUGCGUUUAACAAGGCUUAAGAAUGCCCUCCUCCAGUUUCACCUGCAGGACUGGCACAACUGGCUAAUACAAGUUCCAGACUGGAAAGAAAUAUUUUCCUUUCUAAGCAUUUCAUUUGGAUCCUGACAGUUCUUUAACAAUCCUUUGGGUUUUUGUCUUUCCACUUCAAAUAUAUUAUUCCAGGUAAUAACUACAGUUAUUUACCAUUUUUAUCUCCACCUCUCAGUGGUGCUCUGAAAGUGCUUUUUGGAGGUCUAAAAUCACUGCAGGCCCCCUCAGAUGGAAGUAAGUUCUCAAGACACUUCUGGCCUUUUUAACAUUUUAUCAGACUUUUGUAUACCCACUUAAAAAUUAGACCAUCCAUACCAGUCUUAUUUGUGUUCCUCCUCUCUGCAGUGAUUCCUUGGCAGCUGGCCUUGCUUUUUUGGGCUGCAUGUUCUGUUUUCCUGGUAUGAAUCUUGCAUUACUUCUGAAAUGUGGGAUACUGUCAAAGGGAGGGAUAUUGACUGCAAUCAUCACAUAAAACUGCUGAGAAAGAGACAGAAUUGAUCUCACCCCUGGCUGAUGAAGACUUAGCCCCAUCCCAAGACUCCUAGACUAAACUUGGCCUACUAAUAAAAAAUGCCAAGCUACCUUCCUUUCA